Molecule: ribosomal RNA, 2903 nt
Filed under: Escherichia coli JB1-95
Lineage: Bacteria; Pseudomonadati; Pseudomonadota; Gammaproteobacteria; Enterobacterales; Enterobacteriaceae
Description: bacterial LSU rRNA
Rfam family: Bacterial large subunit ribosomal RNA
Source: RNAcentral
GGUUAAGCGACUAAGCGUACACGGUGGAUGCCCUGGCAGUCAGAGGCGAUGAAGGACGUGCUAAUCUGCGAUAAGCGUCGGUAAGGUGAUAUGAACCGUUAUAACCGGCGAUUUCCGAAUGGGGAAACCCAGUGUGUUUCGACACACUAUCAUUAACUGAAUCCAUAGGUUAAUGAGGCGAACCGGGGGAACUGAAACAUCUAAGUACCCCGAGGAAAAGAAAUCAACCGAGAUUCCCCCAGUAGCGGCGAGCGAACGGGGAGGAGCCCAGAGCCUGAAUCAGUGUGUGUGUUAGUGGAAGCGUCUGGAAAGGCGCGCGAUACAGGGUGACAGCCCCGUACACAAAAAUGCACAUGCUGUGAGCUCGAUGAGUAGGGCGGGACACGUGGUAUCCUGUCUGAAUAUGGGGGGACCAUCCUCCAAGGCUAAAUACUCCUGACUGACCGAUAGUGAACCAGUACCGUGAGGGAAAGGCGAAAAGAACCCCGGCGAGGGGAGUGAAAAAGAACCUGAAACCGUGUACGUACAAGCAGUGGGAGCACGCUUAGGCGUGUGACUGCGUACCUUUUGUAUAAUGGGUCAGCGACUUAUAUUCUGUAGCAAGGUUAACCGAAUAGGGGAGCCGAAGGGAAACCGAGUCUUAACUGGGCGUUAAGUUGCAGGGUAUAGACCCGAAACCCGGUGAUCUAGCCAUGGGCAGGUUGAAAGUUGGGUAACACUAACUGGAGGACCGAACCGACUAAUGUUGAAAAAUUAGCGGAUGACUUGUGGCUGGGGGUGAAAGGCCAAUCAAACCGGGAGAUAGCUGGUUCUCCCCGAAAGCUAUUUAGGUAGCGCCUCGUGAAUUCAUCUCCGGGGGUAGAGCACUGUUUCGGCAAGGGGGUCAUCCCGACUUACCAACCCGAUGCAAACUGCGAAUACCGGAGAAUGUUAUCACGGGAGACACACGGCGGGUGCUAACGUCCGUCGUGAAGAGGGAAACAACCCAGACCGCCAGCUAAGGUCCCAAAGUCAUGGUUAAGUGGGAAACGAUGUGGGAAGGCCCAGACAGCCAGGAUGUUGGCUUAGAAGCAGCCAUCAUUUAAAGAAAGCGUAAUAGCUCACUGGUCGAGUCGGCCUGCGCGGAAGAUGUAACGGGGCUAAACCAUGCACCGAAGCUGCGGCAGCGACGCUGAUGCGUUGUUGGGUAGGGGAGCGUUCUGUAAGCCUGUGAAGGUGUGCUGUGAGGCAUGCUGGAGGUAUCAGAAGUGCGAAUGCUGACAUAAGUAACGAUAAAGCGGGUGAAAAGCCCGCUCGCCGGAAGACCAAGGGUUCCUGUCCAACGUUAAUCGGGGCAGGGUGAGUCGACCCCUAAGGCGAGGCCGAAAGGCGUAGUCGAUGGGAAACAGGUUAAUAUUCCUGUACUUGGUGUUACUGCGAAGGGGGACGGAGAAGGCUAUGUUGGCCGGGCGACGGUUGUCCCGGUUUAAGCGUGUAGGCUGGUUUUCCAGGCAAAUCCGGAAAACUAAGGCUGAGGCGUGAUGACGAGGCACUACGGUGCUGAAGCAACAAAUGCCCUGCUUCCAGGAAAAGCCUCUAAGCAUCAGGUAACAUCAAAUCGUACCCCAAACCGACACAGGUGGUCAGGUAGAGAAUACCAAGGCGCUUGAGAGAACUCGGGUGAAGGAACUAGGCAAAAUGGUGCCGUAACUUCGGGAGAAGGCACGCUGAUAUGUAGGUGAAGUCCCUCGCGGAUGGAGCUGAAAUCAGUCGAAGAUACCAGCUGGCUGCAACUGUUUAUUAAAAACACAGCACUGUGCAAACACGAAAGUGGACGUAUACGGUGUGACGCCUGCCCGGUGCCGGAAGGUUAAUUGAUGGGGUCAGCGCAAGCGAAGCUCUUGAUCGAAGCCCCGGUAAACGGCGGCCGUAACUAUAACGGUCCUAAGGUAGCGAAAUUCCUUGUCGGGUAAGUUCCGACCUGCACGAAUGGCGUAAUGAUGGCCAGGCUGUCUCCACCCGAGACUCAGUGAAAUUGAACUCGCUGUGAAGAUGCAGUGUACCCGCGGCAAGACGGAAAGACCCCGUGAACCUUUACUAUAGCUUGACACUGAACAUUGAGCCUUGAUGUGUAGGAUAGGUGGGAGGCUUUGAAGUGUGGACGCCAGUCUGCAUGGAGCCGACCUUGAAAUACCACCCUUUAAUGUUUGAUGUUCUAACGUUGACCCGUAAUCCGGGUUGCGGACAGUGUCUGGUGGGUAGUUUGACUGGGGCGGUCUCCUCCUAAAGAGUAACGGAGGAGCACGAAGGUUGGCUAAUCCUGGUCGGACAUCAGGAGGUUAGUGCAAUGGCAUAAGCCAGCUUGACUGCGAGCGUGACGGCGCGAGCAGGUGCGAAAGCAGGUCAUAGUGAUCCGGUGGUUCUGAAUGGAAGGGCCAUCGCUCAACGGAUAAAAGGUACUCCGGGGAUAACAGGCUGAUACCGCCCAAGAGUUCAUAUCGACGGCGGUGUUUGGCACCUCGAUGUCGGCUCAUCACAUCCUGGGGCUGAAGUAGGUCCCAAGGGUAUGGCUGUUCGCCAUUUAAAGUGGUACGCGAGCUGGGUUUAGAACGUCGUGAGACAGUUCGGUCCCUAUCUGCCGUGGGCGCUGGAGAACUGAGGGGGGCUGCUCCUAGUACGAGAGGACCGGAGUGGACGCAUCACUGGUGUUCGGGUUGUCAUGCCAAUGGCACUGCCCGGUAGCUAAAUGCGGAAGAGAUAAGUGCUGAAAGCAUCUAAGCACGAAACUUGCCCCGAGAUGAGUUCUCCCUGACUCCUUGAGAGUCCUGAAGGAACGUUGAAGACGACGACGUUGAUAGGCCGGGUGUGUAAGCGCAGCGAUGCGUUGAGCUAACCGGUACUAAUGAACCGUGAGGCUUAACCUU